CAGUAGCCGCGGGAAUACAGAGGGUGCAAGCGUUAAUCGGAAUUACUGGGCGUAAAGCGCGCGUAGGUGGUUUGUUAAGUUGGAUGUGAAAUCCCCGGGCUCAACCUGGGAACUGCAUCCAAAACUGGCAAGCUAGAGUAUGGUAGAGGGUGGUGGAAUUUCCUGUGUAGCGGUGAAAUGCGUAGAUAUAGGAAGGAACACCAGUGGCGAAGGCGACCACCUGGACUGAUACUGACACUGAGGUGCGAAAGCGUGGGGAGCAAACAGGAUUAGAUGCCCCUGUAGUCCCUGUCUCUUAUAA
RNAcentral lists this ribosomal RNA (301 nucleotides) under uncultured bacterium. Its description in RNAcentral is "partial 16S ribosomal RNA". It matches the Rfam family "Bacterial small subunit ribosomal RNA", at positions 509 to 809 of the family's 1533-position model. The record is from RNAcentral.